This 559-nucleotide ribosomal RNA is filed under the name uncultured bacterium. Its description in RNAcentral is "partial 16S ribosomal RNA". It matches the Rfam family "Bacterial small subunit ribosomal RNA", at positions 355 to 905 of the family's 1533-position model. The record is from RNAcentral.
UGGGGAAUUUUGGACAAUGGGGAAACCCUGAUCCAGCCAUCCCGCGUGUGCGAUGAAGGCCUUCGGGUUGUAAAGCACUUUUGGCAGGAAAGAAACGUCGCGGGUUAAUACCCCGCGAAACUGACGGUACCUGCAGAAUAAGCACCGGCUAACUACGUGCCAGCAGCCGCGGUAAUACGUAGGGUGCAAGCGUUAAUCGGAAUUACUGGGCGUAAAGCGUGCGCAGGCGGUUCGGAAAGAAAGAUGUGAAAUCCCAGAGCUUAACUUUGGAACUGCAUUUUUUAACUACCGGGCUAGAGUGUGUCAGAGGGAGGUGGAAUUCCGCGUGUAGCAGUGAAAUGCGUAGAUAUGCGGAGGAACACCGAUGGCGAAGGCAGCCUCCUGGGAUAACACUGACGCUCAUGCACGAAAGCGUGGGGGAGCAAACAGGAUUAGAUACCCUGGUAGUCCACGCCCUAAACGAUGUCAACUAGCUGUUGGGGCCUUCGGGCCUUGGUAGCGCAGCUAACGCGUGAAGUUGACCGCCUGGGGGAGUACGGUCGCAAGAUUAAAACUCAAA